AACACUGAAAGGCUUGUGGGGCCAGGCAAUGCCACCUUGAGGAAAGGGGAAACAUCUAAAAACUCCAGCCAGUCAAAAACAAAUGAGAUGUGUUUUAAGCAGGUACUUUCCUGACUGUUUACUCUAAAUGAAACAAAUAAGUUUGGCCCAUUCUUUGAGAUCUCCACGGGCUUGAAAUUUGGACGUGGCUGAUGUAUAGCAGGAAAUGGUUCAUCCGAGAGCAGCACCUCCAGGGAGGCGAUGUUGCAGGGAUGACAGCCAGGCUUCUCCUGCCAGAGGUGGUGGUUCAGCCUACCACCUUGGCUCCCCCUCCAGCAAGUCUGCACCCUCCACAGCAGUGCACAGUUUUGUUUACAGCAGAGGCUCAUGUGUUGCAGUAAAGCACAACUGGUGUCCCAUAUGUCCUGAUGAUCUCUCAAAUGAUAAAACGACCGGUGCCGGAGGAGCAGCCCGAGUUUUUGCAUCAUGCUCACCUCUGCCUCGACUGAUUUUCCUAAGGAAAAGGAUUCUGCCUGGGGUAGACGCACGGUGCUGCAUGUCACCAAAGCUUCCUGUUGCCUCUGGGAUCUCGACAUUUCUGCUCCUACCUUUAAUAUUACGCAGAGGUUACCUCGGAGCUGCUGCGGCAGAAAAUUGCUGCAGGUUGCAGCACCAGCCCAGGCCUGUGAUAUCCAGGAGCUCAUUCAUCCGCCGCCUUCAAAGGGCUCUCACCAUCAGGCAAGCUUUUGCCAUCGUAAUGAUGCAGCAGUCUUAGGGCCAGAAGACGAUUUUGUCUGUGCAGGCUUGCCUUUAUAGAGAGUAAAAUGCUCUUGGGCCCUAUUACAAUCCCUGGCUAUUAGAGAGCAGCAUCUCCAAAAUGCUGUUGCCCAUGCCAAUUCAUUAAUCCUAUCCCCCUAUGAGAAGUGUUGUUCCUUGUGUUUUGAGGGCAAUGGCUAGCAAAUGGCCAAGGUGACCCAGGUGGCACUCAUCGGCUGGUGCUGCGUUAGGCAGCCCGGGCUGUGGCUGUGGAUUCAGCCAGCUCCUGACUGCAAGCAAUAGGCCACAAUAUCUCCUUCCAUAUUGUAACUGUUAGUGCUUUUAAUAAAUUCCCUUAGGGAAAUGUGCCA
This 1106-nucleotide long non-coding RNA is filed under the name Struthio camelus australis. RNAcentral's name for it is "lncRNA (ENSSCUG00000004057.1)". The record is from RNAcentral. Lineage: Eukaryota; Metazoa; Chordata; Aves; Struthioniformes; Struthionidae.